RNAcentral lists this unclassified non-coding RNA (400 nucleotides) under uncultured fungus. RNAcentral's name for it is "sequence contains ITS1". The record is from RNAcentral. Lineage: Eukaryota; Fungi.
ACGUCAUCCCCACCUUCCUCCGGCUUGUCGCCGGCAGUCUCUCUAGAGUCCCCACCAUUACGUGCUGGCAACUAAAGACGGGGGUUGCGCUCGUUGCGGAACUUAAUCCAACACCUCACGGCACGAGCUGACGACAGCCAUGCAACACCUGUCAGGGGCCCUUACGGACCCUACAUCUCUGUAGGUUUUCCCCUGAUGUCAAGCCCAGGUAAGGUUCUUCGCGUUGCCUCGAAUUAAGCCACAUGCUCCGCCGCUUGUGCGGGUCCCCGUCAAUUCCUUUGAGUUUUAGCCUUGCGGCCGUACUCCCCAGGCGGGGUGCUUAAUGCGUUAGCUGCGGCACGGAUCCCGUCGAUAGGGACCCACACCUAGCACCCAUCGUUUACGGCGUGGACUACCAGGG